Molecule: ribosomal RNA, 468 nt
Filed under: uncultured bacterium
Lineage: Bacteria
Description: partial 16S ribosomal RNA
Rfam family: Bacterial small subunit ribosomal RNA
Source: RNAcentral
AACGAACGCUGGCGGCGUGCUUAACACAUGCAAGUCGAACGGAAAGGCCCUGCUUUUGUUGGGUGCUCGAGUGGCGAACGUGUGAGUAACACGUGAGUAACCUGCCCUUGACUUUGUGAUAACUUCAGGAAACUGGGGCUAAUACCUGCUAGGAGCUCCUGCUGCAUGGUGGGGGUUGGAAAGUGUCGGCGGUUGGGGAUGGACUCGCGGCUUAUCAGCUUGUUGGUGGGGUAGUGGCUUACCAAGGCUUUGACGGGUAGCCGGCCUGAGCGGGUGACCGGCCACAUUGGGACUGAGAGACGGCCCAGACUCCUACGGGAGGCAGCAGUGGGGAAUAUUGCACAAUGGGCGGAAGCCUGAGGAAGCAACGCCGCGUGCGGGAUGACGGCCUUCGGGUUGUAAACCGCUUUCGCCUGUGACGAAGCGUGAGUGACGGUAAUGGGUAAAGAAGCACCGGCUAACUACGUG